AAAGAAAAAUGAAAUAGUAAAUAUAUAAGAAGAAUUAAAAAAUUUUGAGUAACAAACAAAUAAAAGUAUAAGCAGUUAAUCAACAAUAGUAGAAGUGACCAUAGAUACAAUAAAACUGAGAGUUGUAUAAGUCGAGGAAAGAGUACAAGAGUUGGCUGAAAGAAAAGGCAAUAGUCAGUAAAGAAUUAAAGAAAGAAUGAAAUAUGACUAAUAGAAAAAGUCGGUUAAAAAAUAUUACUAACCGGCUGUCCAAAAAAUAUGCGAUUGCAGUAGUACAAAAAUCAAGUGAAGCAGCAACUUACAAAAUUAAUUAGAAUAUAUAAGUUGUAAAACUUAUAGUCAAAUAAUUUUAAACAGAAAUAGUAAGAAAACACCAUCACAACAAUCGAAAAAAAUAAUAUACAUAACACACUGGUUGCAAUUAUUUCGCAAUUGUCAUCCUGGUUAAUUUACUGUGUAAAAUAUGAGUUAAGCCAAUAGAUAAGUUAAGCUGACAGAUAGGGCCGACACAAAUUCCAUACAAAUCUAUAAUUAAGUAAAAUAGUUAAACUGAUAGGUAUUUCGCACAAAAGCCUAAAUAUAAAGAAAUUCUGACAUGUCGAUAAAAGGAAAUGGAAUUUAAUUAGAAAGUAUACCUGCCCAAAUUAAGAAAAUACCUCCACGUGGACUAAAGAAAACCUGAUUUUGUCAGAAAUUAUAUGUAAAUAAAUGGAAGGUAAUUAAAAGUAUUUGGUAUAUAUAAGAAGGAAAGAAUGAAUUAGAACUAAUAGUAAAAUUGUAAUAUUUUUUUC
This 791-nucleotide long non-coding RNA is filed under the name Ananas comosus (pineapple). RNAcentral describes it as "long non-coding RNA (ACOM_LNC043994)". Lineage: Eukaryota; Viridiplantae; Streptophyta; Magnoliopsida; Poales; Bromeliaceae. The record is from RNAcentral.